UUAAGCUUAGUGUAGUGGUUAUUAUGGCUGGGUCACCAUACGGUUCUGUCCCAGCAGAUCUUGGUUCAAUUCCAGGAGCUCUCA
Dendrothele bispora CBS 962.96 is the source of this 84-nucleotide non-coding RNA. Lineage: Eukaryota; Fungi; Basidiomycota; Agaricomycetes; Agaricales. The record is from the annotation of a GenBank genome assembly.